AUUGAACGCUGGCGGCAUGCCUAACACAUGCAAGUCGAACGGCAGCACAGUAUGUAGCAAUACAUAUGGGUGGCGAGUGGCGGACGGGUGCGUAAUAUGUAGGGAUCUGCCCUGAAGCGGGGGACAACCCGGGGAAACCCGGGCUAAUACCGCAUAAUACUCUACGGGGGAAAUCUGGCACGCAAGUGCUGGGGCUUUAGGAUGAACCUACAUCCGAUUAGCUAGUUGGUGAGGUAAUAGCUCACCAAGGCAAUGAUCGGUAGCUGGUCUGAGAGGAUGACCAGCCACACUGGGACUGAGGCACGGCCCAGACUCCUACGGGAGGCAGCAGUGGGGAAUAUUGGACAAUGGGGGAAACCCUGAUCCAGCAAUGCCGCGUGGGUGAAGAAGGCCUUCGGGUUGUAAAGCCCUUUAGGCGGGGAAGAAGGUUAUAGGGUGAUAAGCCUUAUAGCUUGACGGUACCCGCAGAAUAAGCACCGGCUAACUCUGUGCCAGCAGCCGCCGCGG
RNAcentral lists this ribosomal RNA (507 nucleotides) under uncultured bacterium. Its description in RNAcentral is "partial 16S ribosomal RNA". It matches the Rfam family "Bacterial small subunit ribosomal RNA", at positions 30 to 523 of the family's 1533-position model. The record is from RNAcentral.